This 599-nucleotide ribosomal RNA is filed under the name Bacillus sp. HPB33. Its description in RNAcentral is "bacterial SSU rRNA". It matches the Rfam family "Bacterial small subunit ribosomal RNA", at positions 49 to 631 of the family's 1533-position model. The record is from RNAcentral. Lineage: Bacteria; Bacillati; Bacillota; Bacilli; Caryophanales; Bacillaceae.
CUAUACAUGCAGUCGAGCGGACUGAUGGGAGCUUGCUCCCUGAAGUCAGCGGCGGACGGGUGAGUAACACGUGGGUAACCUGCCUGUAAGACUGGGAUAACUCCGGGAAACCGGGGCUAAUACCGGAUAGGUCUUUUCCUCGCAUGAGGAAGAGUGGAAAGGCGGCUUCGGCUGCCACUUACAGAUGGACCCGCGGCGCAUUAGCUAGUUGGUGAGGUAACGGCUCACCAAGGCGACGAUGCGUAGCCGACCUGAGAGGGUGAUCGGCCACACUGGGACUGAGACACGGCCCAGACUCCUACGGGAGGCAGCAGUAGGGAAUCUUCCGCAAUGGACGAAAGUCUGACGGAGCAACGCCGCGUGAGUGAUGAAGGUUUUCGGAUCGUAAAGCUCUGUUGUUAGGGAAGAACAAGUGCCGUUCGAAUAGGGCGGCACCUUGACGGUACCUAACCAGAAAGCCACGGCUAACUACGUGCCAGCAGCCGCGGUAAUACGUAGGUGGCAAGCGUUGUCCGGAAUUAUUGGGCGUAAAGCGCGCGCAGGCGGUCUCUUAAGUCUGAUGUGAAAGCCCACGGCUCAACCGUGGAGGGUCAUUGGAA